Molecule: long non-coding RNA, 1388 nt
Organism: Peromyscus eremicus (cactus mouse)
Lineage: Eukaryota; Metazoa; Chordata; Mammalia; Rodentia; Cricetidae
Exons: 2
Source: RefSeq, a predicted model, not a curated record
GCCAGGUGUUGAGAACUGGAAUAAAACGGUGUCUGGGACAGGACAGGGCUGUAGCACUAACAACCCCACAGCAGCUGCAAGUGCAUGCACAAGAUCGACACAAGAUCGAGCCAAUAGGCGUUCUUCCACAGAGUGGGCGGGGCUUCAUGAGCCCUUACCCCUAACUGAAGAGCUAUGGACCGCUGAUGGCUUCUAAUAGAGAGAUAUUGAGUUUACUUUAAGGGUGUGGCUCCCUGGAGGUCAAUCAUACUCCAGUGGAUAGCCCUAAGCCAGUGAGUCCAAACGGACAUUCCAAAUUGGAAUCAAUGAGUUAUUUUCAAACGGGCUUGCAUAUAGUUGUGUGAGUAGGAAGAUGGGGUGAAUCUGAGAGAAGUUAGGGGAGGAGUUGGGGAUUAAUACGAUCAAAAUAUUUUGUAUGAAAGUCUCAAAGAAUUGAUAAAAUAUUUUACAAAACUAAAAAAAGCUCUCAGCUUUACUAUUUACAGGAUAAAUCUGAGGCAAAUCAUUUAAUCCUUUGAUAUUCAUAUUUUCUAUCUUGAUAUUGAGGAUGACAACAGUGCUUGGCUUGUAAUGUUGCUGAGAGUGUUAAAGGAAGUAGGAAGCAGAACAUUUAGUACCGUGCCUGGACCACAGGGCUCACACAAAACAUUAUAGCUACACAAUGCUGCAUUGCAAAGACUGUUAUGCCAGAGACAGAUCAGUAAAGCUCCCCCGAAGAUCAGAGGAAAGACACUGUUUCCUUCCAGUUCUCCACACCUAGCUCGGACACUCUUCCCGGAGGCCCCAGGCAGUUAAAGCCGCGUACUAAAUGACUGGGUGGAGCCGUUAGAAUCUCAGGUGAGGGUCUAUUGUCUUUCCCCACCCCCUCACCUAUGAGGGAAUGAAGACAGCCAAUAGGCACGAUCCUGAGGGAGUCUCGCACGCAGGUGCAACCGAUCUAAUGAAGAUGGUGGCAGUCUCUUCGGAAGACUGCAGUCUAAAACACGAAGUCAGUGUGAGCAGCUUUAAAAUCUAAUUUUGAUCUGUGCCUAGUGAGUGGCUCAGAGAAUCAUAAAAGGUAAAAUGAGUGGGUUCUGGAAGAUCAUGUGACAUGACCACUGUAUACCAGAGAUGAGCCCACUGGGAUCAAGAGAAGGAAGCUGUGCUACACAGAGCCAGGAUUCAAAGGAAAGCUCUCCCGGAUAACAAGCACACAGUCAAACAGCUGCUGAAAAGCCCAUAAAAACUUGCUGUUCAUCAUGUUAUUCAUGUUAGAGAGGGCAACUUGAAAAUUCUUUUCAGCACCUUCGGAUUGUGAUCUCUUACAAAGGACUGGUGCGUCCUAUGUCACUGCAAAUCUAUGGUAAACCUGGAGACACUCAAUAAACUCUAGUACACAGCAGCACUUA